RNAcentral lists this ribosomal RNA (501 nucleotides) under uncultured bacterium. RNAcentral's name for it is "bacterial SSU rRNA". It matches the Rfam family "Bacterial small subunit ribosomal RNA", at positions 28 to 517 of the family's 1533-position model. The record is from RNAcentral.
GAUGAACGCUAGCUACAGGCUUAACACAUGCAAGUCGAGGGGAAACGACAUCGAAAGCUUGCUUUUGGUGGGCGUCGACCGGCGCACGGGUGAGUAACGCGUAUCCAACCUGCCCACCACUUGGGGAUAACCUUGCGAAAGUAAGACUAAUACCCAAUGAUAUCUCACGAAGGCAUCGGAAUGGGAUUAAAGAUUUAUCGGUGAUGGAUGGGGAUGCGUCUGAUUAGCUUGUUGGCGGGGUAACGGCCCACCAAGGCAACGAUCAGUAGGGGUUCUGAGAGGAAGGUCCCCCACAUUGGUACUGAGACACGGACCAAAACUCCUACGGGAGGCAGCAGUGAGGAAUAUUGGUCAAUGGGCGAGAGCCUGAACCAGCCAAGUAGCGUGCAGGAUGACGGCCCUAUGGGUUGUAAACUGCUUUAUAAGGGAAUAAAGUGAGCCUCGUGAGGCUUUUUGCAUGUACCUUAUGAAUAAGGACGGCUAAUUCCGUGCCAGCAGCCG